Molecule: ribosomal RNA, 496 nt
Filed under: uncultured bacterium
Lineage: Bacteria
Description: partial 16S ribosomal RNA
Rfam family: Bacterial small subunit ribosomal RNA
Source: RNAcentral
GAUGAACGCUGGCGGCGUGCCUAAUACAUGCAAGUCGAGCGAACGGACGAGAAGCUUGCUUCUCUGAUGUUAGCGGCGGACGGGUGAGUAACACGUGGAUAACCUACCUAUAAGACUGGGAUAACUUCGGGAAACCGGAGCUAAUACCGGAUAAUAUUUUGAACCGCAUGGUUCAAAAGUGAAAGACGGUCUUGCUGUCACUUAUAGAUGGAUCCGCGCUGCAUUAGCUAGUUGGUAAGGUAACGGCUUACCAAGGCAACGAUGCAUAGCCGACCUGAGAGGGGGUUCGCCCAACUGGAACUGAGACACGGUCCAGACUCCUAAGGGGGGCAGCAGUAGGGAAACUUCCGCAAUGGGCGGAAGCCUGACGGAACAACGCCGCGUGAGUGAUGAAGGGCUUCGGAUCGUAAAACUCUUGUAUUAGGGAAGAACAUAUGUGUAAGUAACUGUGCACAACUUGACGGUACCUAAUCAGAAAGCCACGGCUAACUACGUG